RNAcentral lists this ribosomal RNA (405 nucleotides) under bacterium. Its description in RNAcentral is "partial 16S ribosomal RNA". It matches the Rfam family "Bacterial small subunit ribosomal RNA", at positions 355 to 776 of the family's 1533-position model. The record is from RNAcentral.
UCGGGAAUUUUGCCCAAUGGACGAAAGUCUGAGGCAGCAACUCCGCGUGAGGGAUGAAGUCCUUCGGGUCGUAAACCUCUUUUCUCAGGUAAGAUUCAAGACGGUACCUGAGGAAUAAGCCACGGCUAACUACGUGCCAGCAGCCGCGGUAAUACGUAGGUGGCAAGCGUUGUCCGGAUUUACUGGGCGUAAAGAGCGCGCAGGCGGCUGGGCAAGUCCGAUGUGAAAGCUUCCGGCUUAACUGGAAAAUUGCAUCGGAAACUGCUCGGCUUGAAGGUGGGAGAGGGUAGCGGAAUUCCCGGUGUAGUGGUGAAAUGCGUAGAUAUCGGGAGGAACACCAGUGGCGAAGGCGGCUACCUGGCCCAUUCUUGACGCUGAGGCGCGAAAGCUAGGGGAGCAAACGGG